CUGCGCUGUGCCUUAGAGCUCCAGAGCUCACUCGCCUUCUAGUUGUGCAUCUAUUCCCUUUGACCGACAUCUCUCCCGUCACCAGACCCUCCAUCCCUGCGGACCCCUCUCUCUUUGCCUGCAUGAAAUAUUGCUGACCCACUCUGAGCCAGACACGGAGAAAACAAUUUCCAGAGCACUUUCCCUUCUAUUAUCUUCUUUGAUCCUGGUAUCUCCUCCAAGAAGUGUAAAAUAUCAUUUCUAUUUAAAAUGAUGAGAAAACUAAGGUCCCACAGCUGGUCACUGGCCAUAUGUGGACCUGAGCUCAGAUUUAAGCUUAAA
Suricata suricatta (meerkat) is the source of this 321-nucleotide long non-coding RNA. RefSeq lists it as uncharacterized. Lineage: Eukaryota; Metazoa; Chordata; Mammalia; Carnivora; Herpestidae. The record is from RefSeq and is a predicted model, not a curated record. The transcript has 2 exons.